Molecule: ribosomal RNA, 405 nt
Filed under: Columbina squammata (scaled dove)
Lineage: Eukaryota; Metazoa; Chordata; Aves; Columbiformes; Columbidae
Description: Scardafella squammata (scaled dove) partial 12S ribosomal RNA
Rfam family: Bacterial small subunit ribosomal RNA
Source: RNAcentral
GCCUGGCCCUAAAUCUUGAUGCUUACCCCACCAAAGCAUCCGCCCGAGAACUACGAGCACAAACGCUUAAAACUCUAAGGACUUGGCGGUGCCCCAAACCCACCUAGAGGAGCCUGUCCUAUAAUCGACAACCCACGAUACACCCGACCACUUCUUGCCAAAAACAGCCUACAUACCGCCGUCGUCAGCCCACCUUUACUGAAAGAACAAUAGUGGGCCUAAUCGCCCUCACCCCGCUAACAAGACAGGUCAAGGUAUAGCCCAUGAAGUGGAAGAAAUGGGCUACAUUUUCUACGUUAGAAAACCCCUUAUUCGGACGGAAGGGGGUAUGAAACUUCCCCCUAGAAGGCGGAUUUAGCAGUAAAGCAGGACAAUAAAGCCCCCUUUAAACCGGCUCUGAGGCAC